Molecule: ribosomal RNA, 776 nt
Filed under: uncultured Neocallimastigales
Lineage: Eukaryota; Fungi; Neocallimastigomycota; Neocallimastigomycetes; Neocallimastigales
Description: partial large subunit ribosomal RNA
Rfam family: Eukaryotic large subunit ribosomal RNA
Source: RNAcentral
CGCAUCUGUGCAUGCAGCAUAUCAAUAAGCGGAGGAAAAGAAACUAACAAGGAUUCCCUAGUAACGGACGAGUGAAGCGGGAAGGAGCUCAAAUUUGAAAUCUUAAAGGGUUUCCCUUUACGAAUUGUAGUUUAAAGAAGUGUUUUCUGUUGAGGUUUUGGUAAAAGUUCUUUGGAAUAGGACAUCAUAGAGGGUGAGAAUCCCGUAUUUGACCUUUACUUUCAACUUUGUGAUACACUUUCAAAGAGUCGGAUUGUUUGGGAAUGCAGUCCAAAAUGGGUGGUAAAUUUCAUCUGAAAGCUAAAUAUUGGCGAGAGACCGAUAGCGAACAAGUACCGUGAGGGAAAGAUGAAAAGAACUUUGAAAAGAGAGUUAAACAGUACGUGAAAUUGUCAAAAGGGAAGCGUUUGACACCAGUGUUGUUUUUCUGAAAAUCAAUUAAAGAACUGUUUAUGCUAAGUUGUUUAGACUUUAUCAGCUAACUGUUUAGUUUUGAGCUUUUCUUUAAUGCACUUUUCAGUUAACAAGUCAACAUCAAUUUCUUUUGCUGUAAAAAAGCUUGAGGAAGGUGGCUUGAGAUUCGUCUUAAGUGUUUAUAGCCUCUUGCCUAUGCAGUCGGAGAGAUUGAGGUCUGCAGCGUAGAUCCUUCGGGGCUAAAUGCAUUUGUGCUAAGUUAUAGCAUUUUAUAGACAACUUGUUGACUAUGAUUUGUCUUGUAGCUUACUCGCUUAUGUUAUUUUACCUACGCUUAGGAUGUUGAGUCGUAGAGCACGCAG